AAGUCGUAACAAGGUCUCCGUAGGUGAACCUGCGGAGGGAUCAUUACAAGUGACCCCGGUCUAACCACCGGGAUGUUCAUAACCCUUUGUUGUCCGACUCUGUUGCCUCCGGGGCGACCCUGCCUUCGGGCGGGGGCUCCGGGUGGACACUUCAAACUCUUGCGUAACUUUGCAGUCUGAGUAAACUUAAUUAAUAAAUUAAAACUUUUAACAACGGAUCUCUUGGUUCUGGCAUCGAUGAAGAACGCAGCGAAAUGCGAUAAGUAAUGUGAAUUGCAGAAUUCAGUGAAUCAUCGAAUCUUUGAACGCACAUUGCGCCCGCCAGUAUUCUGGCGGGCAUGCCUGUUCGAGCGUCAUUUCAACCCUCAAGCUCUGCUUGGUGUUGGGGAUCGGCGUAGUGUCCUUCGGGGCGCUGCCGUCCCCUAAAUCUAGUGGCGGUCCUGCCGUAGAUACCUCUGCGUAGUAGUUUUCUCCUCGCUCUGGAAUCUCGGCGGUGCCUUGCCGUUAAACCCCCAACUUCUGAAAGGUUGACCUCGAAUCAGGUAGGAAUACCCGCUGAACUUAA
Molecule: ribosomal RNA, 565 nt
Filed under: uncultured fungus
Lineage: Eukaryota; Fungi
Description: eukaryotic LSU rRNA
Rfam family: 5.8S ribosomal RNA (bases 203-356)
Source: RNAcentral